RNAcentral lists this ribosomal RNA (426 nucleotides) under uncultured bacterium. Its description in RNAcentral is "bacterial SSU rRNA". It matches the Rfam family "Bacterial small subunit ribosomal RNA", at positions 28 to 435 of the family's 1533-position model. The record is from RNAcentral.
GAUGAACGCUGGCGGCGUGCCUAACACAUGCAAGUCGAACGGAGUCGUUUUGGAAAAUCCUUCGGGAUUGGAAUUCUCGACUUAGUGGCGGACGGGUGAGUAACGCGUGAGCAAUCUGCCUUUAAGAGGGGGAUAACAGUCGGAAACGGCUGCUAAUACCGUAUAAAGCAUUGAAUUCGCAUGUUUUCGAUGCCAAAGGAGCAAUCCGCUUUUAGAUGAGCUCGCGUCUGAUUAGCUAGUUGGCGGGGUAACGGCCCACCAAGGCGACGAUCAGUAGCCGGACUGAGAGGUUGAACGGCCACAUUGGGACUGAGACACGGCCCAGACUCCUACGGGAGGCAGCAGUGGGGAAUAUUGCGCAAUGGGGGAAACCCUGACGCAGCAACGCCGCGUGAUUGAAGAAGGCCUUCGGGUUGUAAAGAUCUU